GACAGAGGGUGCAAACGUUUGUUCGGAAUUACUGGGCGUAAAGCGCGUGUAGGCGGCUAAGUAAGUCGGGCGUGAAAUCCCACGGCUCAACCGUGGAAGUGCACUCGAAACUGCAUAGCUAGAGUCCUGGAGAGGAAGGUGGAAUGCUUGGUGUAGAGGUGAAAUUCGUAGAUACUCAAGCGGAACACCGGUGGCGAAGGCGGCCUUCUGGACAGUGACUGACGCUGAGACGGCGAAAAGCGUGGGGAGCAAACAGG
RNAcentral lists this ribosomal RNA (257 nucleotides) under uncultured bacterium. Its description in RNAcentral is "partial 16S ribosomal RNA". It matches the Rfam family "Bacterial small subunit ribosomal RNA", at positions 524 to 776 of the family's 1533-position model. The record is from RNAcentral.